Molecule: long non-coding RNA, 903 nt
Organism: Xenopus laevis (African clawed frog)
Lineage: Eukaryota; Metazoa; Chordata; Amphibia; Anura; Pipidae
Exons: 4
Source: RefSeq, a predicted model, not a curated record
AAGAAACUGGGGUCUCUCCCCUGCUUAUUUGUUUUCUACACCAUCUCUGUCUUCUCCAAGUCCUGCCCCAGGUCUCUCUAUUCCCAGCCCAAGUCCUGCCCCAGGUCUCUCUAUUCCCAGCCCAAGUCCUGCCCCAGGUCUCUCUAUUCCCUGUCCAAGUCCUGCCCCAGGUCUCUCUAUUCCCAGCCCAAGUCCUGCCCCAGGUCUCUCUAUUCCCAGCCCAAGUCCUGCCCCAGGUCUCUCUAUUCUCAGUCCAAGUCCUGCCCCAGGUCUCUCUAUUCCCUGUCCAAGUCCUGCCCCAGGUCUCUCUAUUCCCUGUCCAAGUCCUGCCCCAGGUCUCUCUGUUCCCUGUCCAAGUCCUGCCCCAGGUCUCUCUGCUCCCAGCCCAAGUCCUGCCCCAGGUCUCUCUGCUCCCAGCCCAAGUCCUGCCCCAGGUCUCUCUAUUCCCAGUCCAAGUCCUGCCCCUGGUCUCUCUAUUCCCAGUCCAAGUCCUGCCCCAGGUCUCUCUGUUCCCAGUCCAAGUCCUGCCCCAGGUCUCUCUAUUCCCUGUCCAAGUCCUGCCCCAGGUCUCUCUAUUCCCAGUCCAAGUCCUGCCCCAGGUCUCUCUAUUCCCAGUCCAAGUCCUGCCCCAGGUCUCUCUAUUCCCAGUCCAAGUCCUGCCCCAGGUCUCUCUGUUCCCAGUCCAAGUCCUGCCCCAGGUCUCUCUGUUCCCAGUCCAAGUCCUGCCCCAGGUCUCUCUGCUCCCAGCCCAAGUCCUGCCCCAGGUCUCUCUAUUCCCAGUAAGUCCUGCCCCUGGUCUCUCUAUUCCCAGCCCAAGUCCUGCCCCAGGUCUCUCUAUUCCCAGUAAGUCCUGCCCCUGGUCUCUCUAUUCCCAGUCCAAGUCCUGCCCCAGGUCUCUCUGUU